UGAAUACGAAAUGCUACGGCAUUGAAGUGAUCUAUGCCAGGCUUCCAAGAAAAUCUCGUCAUAUCUUAAGCAGUAGAUGCCUGUACCUUAAACCGACACAGGUAGGUAGGUAGAGUAUACCAAGGGGCGCGAGAUAACUCUCUCUAAGGAACUCGGCAAAAUAACCUCGUAACUUCGGAAGAAGAGGUACCCUUGAAAAAGGGUUGCAAUAACCAGACCCUGGCGACUGUUUACCAAAAACACAGGUCUCCGCUAAUUCGUAAGAUCAAGUAUGGAGGCUGACGCCUGCCCAGUGCCGGAAGGUUAAAGAAGUUGGUCAAUCUUUGGAUGAAGCUGGCGACUGAAGCCCCGGUGAACGGCGGCCGUAACUAUAACGGUCCUAAGGUAGCGAAGUUCCUUGUCGGGUAAGUUCCGACCCGCACGAAAGGCGUAACGAUCAGGGUGCUGUCUCGGAGAGAGACUCGGCGAAAUAGACCUCUGUGAAGAUGCGGACUACCUGCACCUGGACAGAAAGACCCUAUGAAGCUUUACUGUAUCUUGGAAUUGGGUUUGGGCCUUGCUUGCGCAGGAUAGGUGGGAGGCUGUGAAGAUAUUCUUGCGGGAAUGUUGGAGCCAACGGUGAGAUACCACUCUAGUAAGGCUAAAAUUCUAACUCUGAACCGUUAUCCGGUCAGAGAACAGUUUCAGGUGGGCAGUUUGACUGGGGCGGUCGCCUCCUAAAAGGUAGCGGAGGCGCGCAAAGGUUCCCUCAGGCUGGUUGGACAUCAGUCGUAGAGUGUAAAGGCAUAAGGGAGCUUGACUGCGAGACCCACAAGUCGAGCAGAGACGAAAGUCGGCCUUAGUGAUCCGACGGUUCCACGUGGAAGGGCCGUCGCUCAACGGAUAAAAGUUACUCUAGGAUAACAGGCUGAUCUCCCCCAAGAGUUCACAUCGACGGGGAGGUUUGGCACCUCGAUGUCGGCUCAUCGCAUCCUGGGGCGGUAGUACGUCCCAAGGGUUGGGCUGUUCGCCCAUGAAAGCGGUACGCGAGCUGGGUUCAGAACGUCGUGAGACAGUUCGGUCCAUAUCCGGUGCAGGCGUUAGAGCAUUGAGAGGAGUCCCCCUUAGUACGAGAGGACCGGGGGGAAUACACCGCUGGUGUACCAGUUAUCGUGCCAACGGUAAACGCUGGGUAGCCAUGUGUAGCGCGGAUAACUGCUGAAAGCAUCUAAGUAGGAAGCCCACCUUAAGAUGAGUGCUCUCACCGCUAUAAGCGGGUAAGGUCACGGUAAGAACAACCGUUAUAUAGGCAUUAAGUAUACGUGCAGUAAUGCAUUUAGCUGAGAUGUACUAACAGACCGAGGGCUUGAU
Molecule: ribosomal RNA, 1350 nt
Filed under: metagenome
Description: bacterial LSU rRNA
Rfam family: Bacterial large subunit ribosomal RNA
Source: RNAcentral